UACGUAGGGUGCAAGCGUUAAUCGGAAUUACUGGGCGUAAAGCGUGCGCAGGCGGUUUUGUAAGUCUGUCGUGAAAUCCCCGGGCUCAACCUGGGAAUUGCGAUGGAGACUGCAAGGCUAGAAUCUGGCAGAGGGGGGUAGAAUUCCACGUGUAGCAGUGAAAUGCGUGGAGAUGUGGAGGAACACCGAUGGCGAAGGCAGCCCCCUGGGUCAAGAUUGACGCUCAUGCACGAAAGCGUGGGGAGCAAACAGG
RNAcentral lists this ribosomal RNA (253 nucleotides) under uncultured bacterium. Its description in RNAcentral is "partial 16S ribosomal RNA". It matches the Rfam family "Bacterial small subunit ribosomal RNA", at positions 524 to 776 of the family's 1533-position model. The record is from RNAcentral.